CCUACGGGGGGCAGCAGUGAGGAAUAUUGGUCAAUGGCCGGAAGGCUGAACCAGCCAUGCCGCGUGAAGGUCAGUGCCCUAUGGGCGUUAAACUUCUUUUGUGCGGGAGCAAUAAUGGUCACGUGUGGCCAGACGAGAGUACCGUACGAAUAAGCAUCGGCUAACUCCGUGCCAGCAGCCGCGGUAAUACGGGGGAUGCAAGCGUUAUCCGGAUUUAUUGGGUUUAAAGGUGGCGUAGGCUGUGAGGUAAGUCAGCGGUGAAAUGCCCCCGCUCAACGGGGUGAAGUGCCAUUGAUACUGCCUAGCUGGAGUGCGGAUGCCGUGGGAGGAAUGUGUGGUGUAGCGGUGAAAUGCAUAGAUAUCACACAGAACACCGAUUGCGAAGGCAUCUCACGAAGCCGCGAUUGACGCUGAUGCACGAAAGCGUGGGUAUCAAACAGGAUUAGAUACCCCUGUAGUC
Molecule: ribosomal RNA, 460 nt
Filed under: uncultured bacterium
Lineage: Bacteria
Description: partial 16S ribosomal RNA
Rfam family: Bacterial small subunit ribosomal RNA
Source: RNAcentral